RNAcentral lists this ribosomal RNA (253 nucleotides) under uncultured bacterium. RNAcentral's name for it is "partial 16S ribosomal RNA". It matches the Rfam family "Bacterial small subunit ribosomal RNA", at positions 524 to 776 of the family's 1533-position model. The record is from RNAcentral.
UACGUAGGGGGCAAGCGUUAAUCGGAAUUACUGGGCGUAAAGCGUGCGCAGGCGGUUUUGCAAGGCAGAUGUGAAAUCCCCGGGCUCAACCUGGGAACUGCAUUUGUGACUGCAUGGCUAGAGUACGGUAGAGGGGGAUGGAAUUCCGCGUGUAGCAGUGAAAUGCGUAGAUAUGCGGAGGAACACCGAUGGCGAAGGCAAUCCCCUGGACCUGUACUGACGCUCAUGCACGAAAGCGUGGGGAGCAAACAGG